GACGAACGCUGGCGGCGUGCCUAAUACAUGCAAGUAGAACGCUGAAGGAGGAGCUUGCUUCUCUGGAUGAGUUGCGAACGGGUGAGUAACGCGUAGGUAACCUGCCUGGUAGCGGGGGAUAACUAUUGGAAACGAUAGCUAAUACCGCAUAAGAGUAGAUGUUGCAUGACAUUUGCUUAAAAGGUGCAAUUGCAUCACUACCAGAUGGACCUGCGUUGUAUUAGCUAGUUGGUGAGGUAACGGCUCACCAAGGCAACGAUACAUAGCCGACCUGAGAGGGUGAUCGGCCACACUGGGACUGAGACACGGCCCAGACUCCUACGGGAGGCAGCAGUAGGGAAUCUUCGGCAAUGGACGGAAGUCUGACCGAGCAACGCCGCGUGAGUGAAGAAGGUUUUCGGAUCGUAAAGCUCUGUUGUAAGAGAAGAACGAGUGUGAGAGUGGAAAGUUCACACUGUGACGGUAUCUUACCAGAAAGGGACGGCUAACUACGUGCCAGCAGCCGCGGUAAUACGUAGGUCCCGAGCGUUGUCCGGAUUUAUUGGGCGUAAAGCGAGCGCAGGCGGUUAGAUAAGUCUGAAGUUAAAGGCUGUGGCUUAACCAUAGUACGCUUUGGAAACUGUUUAACUUGAGUGCAAGAGGGGAGAGUGGAAUUCCAUGUGUAGCGGUGAAAUGCGUAGAUAUAUGGAGGAACACCGGUGGCGAAAGCGGCUCUCUGGCCUGUAACUGACGCUGAGGCUCGAAAGCGUGGGGAGCAAACAGG
This 763-nucleotide ribosomal RNA is filed under the name uncultured Streptococcus sp. RNAcentral's name for it is "bacterial SSU rRNA". It matches the Rfam family "Bacterial small subunit ribosomal RNA", at positions 28 to 776 of the family's 1533-position model. The record is from RNAcentral. Lineage: Bacteria; Bacillati; Bacillota; Bacilli; Lactobacillales; Streptococcaceae.